This 24-nucleotide non-coding RNA is filed under the name Cricetulus griseus (Chinese hamster). Lineage: Eukaryota; Metazoa; Chordata; Mammalia; Rodentia; Cricetidae. The record is from RNAcentral.
AGGUGAAGUUAACGAGGGAAAGGU